UAGGGAAUCUUCGGCAAUGGACGGAAGUCUGACCGAGCAACGCCGCGUGAGUGAAGAAGGUUUUCGGAUCGUAAAGCUCUGUUGUUAGAGAAGAACGUUGGUAGGAGUGGAAAAUCUACCAAGUGACGGUAACUAACCAGAAAGGGACGGCUAACUACGUGCCAGCAGCCGCGGUAAUACGUAGGUCCCGAGCGUUUUCCGGAUUUAUUGGGCGUAAAGCGAGCGCAGGCGGUUCUUUAAGUCUGAAGUUAAAGGCAGUGGCUUAACCAUUAUACGCUUUGGAAACUGGAGGACUUGAGUGCAGAAGGGGAGAGUGGAAUUCCAUGUGUAGCGGUGAAAUGCGUAGAUAUAUGGAGGAACACCGGUGGCGAAAGCGGCUCUCUGGUCUGUAACUGACGCUGAGGCUCGAAAGCGUGGGGAGCAAACAGG
RNAcentral lists this ribosomal RNA (429 nucleotides) under Bacillota bacterium. RNAcentral describes it as "Firmicutes bacterium partial 16S ribosomal RNA". It matches the Rfam family "Bacterial small subunit ribosomal RNA", at positions 355 to 776 of the family's 1533-position model. Lineage: Bacteria; Bacillati; Bacillota. The record is from RNAcentral.